This 468-nucleotide ribosomal RNA is filed under the name uncultured bacterium. RNAcentral describes it as "partial 16S ribosomal RNA". It matches the Rfam family "Bacterial small subunit ribosomal RNA", at positions 28 to 507 of the family's 1533-position model. The record is from RNAcentral.
GACGAACGCUGGCGGCGUGCUUAACACAUGCAAGUCGAACGGAAAGGCCCUGCUUUUGUGGGGUGCUCGAGUGGCGAACGGGUGAGUAACACGUGAGUAACCUGCCCUUGACUUUGGGAUAACUUCAGGAAACUGGGGCUAAUACCGGAUAGGAGCUCCUGCUGCAUGGUGGGGGUUGGAAAGUUUCGUCGGUUGGGGAUGGACUCGCGGCUUAUCAGCUUGUUGGUGGGGUAGUGGCUUACCAAGGCUUUGACGGGUAGCCGGCCUGAGAGGGUGACCGGGCACAUUGGGACUGAGAUACGGCCCAGACUCCUACGGGAGGCAGCAGUGGGGAAUAUUGCACAAUGGGCGGAAGCCUGAUGCAGCAACGCCGCGUGCGGGAUGACGGCCUUCGGGUUGUAAACCGCUUUCGCCUGUGACGAAGCGUGAGUGACGGUAAUGGGUAAAGAAGCACCGGCUAACUACGUG